Gopherus flavomarginatus (Mexican gopher tortoise) is the source of this 1257-nucleotide long non-coding RNA. RefSeq lists it as uncharacterized. NCBI's taxonomy places the organism in Eukaryota, Metazoa, Chordata, Testudines, Testudinidae. The record is from RefSeq and is a predicted model, not a curated record. The transcript has 13 exons.
GGGACCUGUGGGGAGGUCUCUGGGUGAGGGGGCGCCGGGCGUAGGGAUCUGUGGGGAGGUCUCUGGGCGAGGGGGCGCUGGGCGUAGGGAUCUGUGGGGAGGUCUCUGGGCGAGGGGGCGCCGGGCGUAGGGAUCUGUGGGGAGGUCUCUGGGCGAGGGGGCGCUGGGCGUAGGGAUCUGUGGAGAGGUCUCUGGGCGAGGGGGCGCCGGGCGUAGGGAUCUGUGGGGAGGUCUCUGGGCGAGGGGGUGUCGGGCGUAGGGAUCUGUGGGGAGGUCUCUGGGUGAGGGGGUGUCGGGCGUAGGGAUCUGUGGGGAGGUCUCUGGGCGAGGGGGCGCCGGGUGUAGGGAUCUGUGGGGAGGUCUCUGGGCGAGGGGGUGUCGGGCGUAGGGAUCUGUGGGGAGGUCUCUGGGCGAGGGGGCACUGGGCGUAGGGAUCUGUGGGGAGGUCUCUGGGCGAGGGGGCGCUGGGCGUAGGGAUCUGUGGGGAGGUCUCUGGGCGAGGGGGCGCCGGGCGUAGGGAUCUGUGGGGAGGUCUCUGGGCGAGGGGGUGCCGGGCGUAGGGAUCUGUGGGGAGGUCUCUGGGUGAGGGGGCGCUGGGCGUAGGGAUCUGUGGGGAGGUCUCUGGGCGAGGGGGUGCUGGGCGUAGGGAUCUGUGGGGAGGUCUCUGGGUGAGGGGGUGUCGGGCGUAGGGAUCUGUGGGGAGGUCUCUGGGCGAGGGGGCGCCGGGUGUAGGGAUCUGUGGGGAGGUCUCUGGGCGAGGGGGUGUCGGGCGUAGGGAUCUGUGGGGAGGUCUCUGGGCGAGGGGGCGCUGGGCGUAGGGAUCUGUGGGGAGGUCUCUGGGCGAGGGGGCGCCGGGCGUAGGGAUCUGUGGGGAGGUCUCUGGGCGAGGGGGCGCCGGGCGUAGGGAUCUGUGGGGAGGUCUCUGGGCGAGGGGGCGCUGGGCGUAGGGAUCUGUGGGGAGGUCUCUGGGCGAGGGGGCGCCGGGCGUAGGGAUCUGUGGGGAGGUCUCUGGGCGAGGGGGUGCCGGGCGUAGGGAUCUGUGGGGAGGUCUCUGGGUGAGGGGGCGCCGGGCGUAGGGAUCUGUGGGGAGGUCUCUGGGCGAGGGGGCGCUGGGCGUAGGGAUCUGUGGGGAGGUCUCUGGGCGAGGGGGCGCCGGGCGUAGGGAUCUGUGGGGAGGUCUCUGGGCGAGGGGGUGCCGGGCGUAGGGAUCUGUGGGGGGGAUCACUGGGCGAGGGGGUGUCGGGCGUAGGGAUCUGU